Non-coding RNA from Rattus norvegicus (Norway rat), 1552 nucleotides. The record is from RefSeq and is a predicted model, not a curated record. Lineage: Eukaryota; Metazoa; Chordata; Mammalia; Rodentia; Muridae.
GCUGCUGAGAAGUCGGUGAUGAUUGGGGAAAACCCAGCACCGUUAAUGAACAAUCUUCUAGGAAGUACUUCCUCAGGGUCAGCACCACAGAGCUAGCUACUGUGUUCCCGAGGGAACUGAAGCUGUAUCUUUUGCUGGCAGCUGAACCUGGUAAUAUGCAAGGGUGCCCCACAUGGUACCAGUUAUAAGGCAUGAAGGAACAGCUGAGACUUGGCAUUAGGAGAGCAGGGAGGCCACUGAUGACAGUGCAGCCUCAGUUGACACAGAAGCCCCAGGCUUGAAGGUGUCAUGGAGAGGGUGUGGCUAUGUGGCAGUCAGAGAAAAGAGCCCAAGAGUGCUCUAUGCAGACCUUUUGCAGCAGAGCCCUGGCAUUUCUGGAGAUGCCAGUGUCAUGCAGAGUUGUAGCCAGCCUCAGUCUAUGACAAGAUGCAUGUGUUGUAAACUGCACAUUGUCCAAGCCUUUGGAACCCAGAAGAUUCUGAGUGAAUCUCAGGCACUUGAUACUAAAUUACUCAUACUGUUAGGGGUUGGCUUUACUUGACUUGGUUGUGACAGUGCCCUGGUUCUUCCUCCUUGGAAUAUGAAGCUAUGUAGCGUGCCUCCCACUUUACAUUGAGAUCUUUAGAUCUGCCUUUCACUUUAUCUGUGUAUUUCCAUUCCUACAUAGGUUAAGCUUUUACAGUCUCAGUCUUAGAUUGCUUCACGUGCCCAGACCUAUUUCCCUCUAUGAUCUUUUCUUCACUUCUUUCUCUCACAAGACCAAUCCGUCUAAACAAGCUGUGGCCUUCCUUUUAUUUACUAUGUUAGAAUAGAAAUUCUUCCCCUGCCAUGUAAGUACCCAUCUUUAACAUUUUAACCAGUGUGUGUCUUUAUUCGUGUGGUGUCAGUCACUGUACCCAAUAGUAGUGUCCACUGAAGGACUUUGCGCCACUGUUCUCAUUUAUCUGACUCAGCGAAGUACCACUCACACUGCCACUACUCACACAGUCUAUGUUGCCUUCUCACCUGGACUAAAACCUCUCUCAAAGUGAAGAAUCAAGUCAUACACAUUUUUCAUAUGUUCCUACCUUAGUCAAUAUCAAACCCAAAGUAGGCACCUAACGAAUACUUGUCAAUCCUAUUGACCAAAUACUAAAAUCUUUUCUAAAUAAAAAGACAGCAAAUGACAUUUAAGCCAGUUAUUUCAACUUCUAUUCUAGGAACUCAACAGUAUACAAAAGACAGGACCACACAGUUACUGUACCAGCAAAGCAGCACAACCUGGCUGUAAAGGUAAAAUGCUGUCACCUGAAUGCUGAAGAUGCAUGCAAUUCUGAUCGCACAUCGUAUCCCUUCGAGGCAGAGAGAGGCCACGUCAGUAUCAUCACAGUCUUGUAGACCCACACUGAAGGCAGCCAGAAAAGGGGUCCAAGCCAACUAGAAAAAUCAACAUUUAAAAUAACAUGCAUAUCAAGUGGUAACUGAACUUCUUGGCAUAGUAAGCAAGAAAGUUUUUGUAAAGAAAAAACAAAAUGAUGUUUCUUGGGCUUAAAUAAAUGGAACCAAACAUGAA